This 26-nucleotide non-coding RNA is filed under the name Cricetulus griseus (Chinese hamster). The record is from RNAcentral. Lineage: Eukaryota; Metazoa; Chordata; Mammalia; Rodentia; Cricetidae.
AACUAGUCGAGAUUAACCAGACCUCU